Pelobates cultripes (western spadefoot toad) is the source of this 808-nucleotide non-coding RNA. The record is from the annotation of a GenBank genome assembly. NCBI's taxonomy places the organism in Eukaryota, Metazoa, Chordata, Amphibia, Anura, Pelobatidae.
CUAAUGAUAACAGUAUUUUUUUUAAACAUAAAAAACUUACAAUGCACUGUUCCAAAUUAUUACGCACAGUAAGUUUCAAAACACUUUAUAGGUUGUAAAGAACUGAAAAUUUUCAUUUGUUGUGUUUGCAGCAUAUUUACUGAAAUAAAAAGCUAUUUCAAUCAAACUUAUAAAAACAUUUUAACUUUUUAAACAUUUUAACAGGUCACGUUACAUACAUAGGACCCCUUAUUUGAUAGCAGCUUCACAAGUCUUGCAUCCAUUGAACUUGUGAGUUUUUGGACAGUUUCUGUUUGAAUUUGUUUGCAAGAUGUCAGAAUAGCCUCCCAGAGCUGCUGUUUGGAUGUAAGCUGUCUCCCACCCUCAUAGAUCUUUUGCUCGAGGAUGCUCCAAAGGUUCUCAAUAGGAUUGUGGUAAGGGAAGGAUGGAGGCCACACCAUGACUUUCUCUCCUUUUAUCCCCAUAGCAGCCAUUGAUGCAGAGGUAUUCUUUGCAGCAUAAGAUGGUGCACUGUCAUGCAUGAAGAUGAUUUUAUUACGGAAAGCAUAGUUCUUCCUUAUGUACCAGGGAAGAAAGUGGUCAGCAAGAAAAUCCACAUACUUUGCAGAGGUAAUCUUUACACCUUCGGGGACCCUAAGGGUCCUAUGAUUCCAGCUCAAAACCUGACUCCACCUCCACUACUCCAUCCAUCUGGACCAUCCAGAGUUGCACGGCACUCAUCAGUGAAAAGGACUGUUUGAAAAUUAGUCUUCAUGUAUUUUUCUGCCCAAUGCAGCUGUUUUUGCUUGUGAGCAUUGGUUAGUGGUGG